Molecule: ribosomal RNA, 253 nt
Filed under: uncultured bacterium
Lineage: Bacteria
Description: partial 16S ribosomal RNA
Rfam family: Bacterial small subunit ribosomal RNA
Source: RNAcentral
UACGAAGGGUCCAAGCGUUAUCCGGAUUUAUUGGGUUUAAAGGGUGCGUAGGCGGCUUAUUAAGUCAGUGGUGAAAGACUUCAGCUUAACUGAAGAACUGCCAUUGAUACUGAUGAGCUUGAACAUACUUGAGGUUGGCGGAAUGUGUCAUGUAGCGGUGAAAUGCUUAGAUAUGACACAGAACACCGAUUGCGAAGGCAGCUAGCUAAAGUAUGAUUGACGCUGAGGCACGAAAGCGUGGGGAUCAAACAGG